CUAAAUGACUCUCGGCAACGGAUAUCUCGGCUCUUGCAUCGAUGAAGAACGUAGCGAAAUGCGAUACUUGGUGUGAAUUGCAGAAUCCCGUGAACCAUCGAGUCUUUGAACGCAAGUUGCGCCUGAAGCCAUCAGGUUGAAGGCACGUCUGCCUGGGCGUCACGCAU
This 167-nucleotide ribosomal RNA is filed under the name Erica imbricata. RNAcentral describes it as "5.8S ribosomal RNA". It matches the Rfam family "5.8S ribosomal RNA". Rfam says of the family: 5.8S ribosomal RNA (5.8S rRNA) is a component of the large subunit of the eukaryotic ribosome. The record is from RNAcentral. Lineage: Eukaryota; Viridiplantae; Streptophyta; Magnoliopsida; Ericales; Ericaceae. RNAcentral also lists the same sequence under 214 other names.